Molecule: unclassified non-coding RNA, 190 nt
Filed under: rhizosphere metagenome
Description: partial ribosomal RNA internal transcribed spacer region
Source: RNAcentral
GAAUACAGAUGCCUGUCGAGCUUGCUCACAGGCUUUCUAUCAUAUCCAUAACACCUGUGCACUUGUUGGAUGUUCUAGAGACUUAGGGUUAAACCUGCAGUCAAUAGUCAUCCACUUACACUAAACAAUUUGUAACAAAUGUAGUCUUAUUAUAAUUAAUAAAACUUUUAACAACGGAUCUCUUGGCUCU